Molecule: ribosomal RNA, 2534 nt
Filed under: Clostridioides difficile
Lineage: Bacteria; Bacillati; Bacillota; Clostridia; Peptostreptococcales; Peptostreptococcaceae
Description: bacterial LSU rRNA
Rfam family: Bacterial large subunit ribosomal RNA
Source: RNAcentral
UCAAGUUAUUAAGGGUGCAGGGCGGAUGCCUUGGCACUAGGAGCCGAUGAAGGACGUGAUAAGCUGCGAUAAGCUUCGGGGAGUUGCACGUAAACUUUGAUCCGAAGAUUUCCGAAUGAGGAAACUCACUUAGAGUAAUGUCUAAGUAUCAUUAAGUGAAUACAUAGCUUAAUGAGGGGAACUCAGGGAACUGAAACAUCUAAGUACCUGAAGGAAGAGAAAGAAAUUCGAUUCCGUAAGUAGCGGCGAGCGAACGCGGAUUAGCCCAAACCAAUAAAGUUUUCUUUAUUGGGGUUGCGGACAUAUCAUAACGAAGAGGUAUCGUAAUUGAAGAGGUUUGGAAAGACCCACCACAGAAGGUAAUAGUCCUGUAUGUUAAACGAGAAGACUUUAGAUAUGAUCCAGAGUACCACGGGACACGUGAAACCCUGUGGGAAGCAGGAGGGACCACCCUCCAAGGCUAAAUACUACCUAGUGACCGAUAGCGUAUAGUACCGUGAGGGAAAGGUGAAAAGAACCCCGGGAGGGGAGUGAAAUAGAACCUGAAACCCUGCACUUACAAGCUGUGGAAGCACAUUUCUUGUGUGACCGCGUACUUUUUGUAGAACGGGCCAACGAGUUACGUUAAGUAGCAAGGUUAAGCACUUAAGGUGCGGAGCCGUAGCGAAAGCGAGUUUUAACUGAGCGUUCAGUUACUUGACGUAGACCCGAAACCGGGCGACCUACCCAUGAGCAGGAUGAAGCGAAAGUAAAAUUUCGUGGAGGUCCGAACCCACGAGCGUUGAAAAGCUCGGGGAUGACUUGUGGGUAGCGGUGAAAUUCCAAUCGAGCCCGGAGAUAGCUGGUUCUCCCCGAAAUAGCUUUAGGGCUAGCCUCAAGGUGAGAGAUACGGAGGUAGAGCACUGAAUGUCCUAGGGGGUAUUGCACCUACCGAAGACUAUCAAACUCCGAAUGCCGUCAUCUUAUACUUGGGAGUCAGACUGUGGGUGAUAAGAUUCAUAGUCGAAAGGGCAACAGCCCAGAUCGUCAGCUAAGGUCCCUAAAUGUAAGUUAAGUGGUAAAGGAUGUGGGAUUGCACAGACAACCAGGAUGUUGGCUUAGAAGCAGCCACUCAUUCAAAGAGUGCGUAAUAGCUCACUGGUCGAGUGAUCCUGCGCCGAAGAUUUCCGGGGCUAAAACUUACUACCGAAGCUACGGCAUCAGUAAUGAUGGGUAGGGGAGCUUCCCAUACGGGUUGAAGCAUGACCGUAAGGACAUGUGGACAGUAUGGGAGUGAGAAUGUUGGCAUGAGUAGCGAGAUGUGGGUGAGAAUCCCACAGGCCGUAAACCCAAGGUUUCCAGGGGAAGGUUCGUCCGCCCUGGGUUAGUCGGGACCUAAGCUGAGGCCGAAAGGCGUAGGUGAUGGACAACAGGUUGAUAUUCCUGUACUACCGAUAACCGUUUGAGAGAAGGGAUGACACAGUAGGAUAAGCUAAGCACACUGUUGGUUAUGUGUGCCCAAGCAUUGAGGCAGUCAAAGUAGGCAAAUCCGCUUUGAUAAUGCUGGGAUGUGAUGGGGAGCGAAAUUUAGUAGCGAAGUAGCUGAUUUCACACUGUCAAGAAAAGUCUCUAUCGAGGUUAAAGGUACCCGUACCGCAAACCGACACAGGUGGGUGAGGAGAGUAUCCUAAGGCCAGCGAGAGAACUGUUGUUAAGGAACUCGGCAAAAUGACCCCGUAACUUAGGGAUAAGGGGUGCCACCAUCAGGUGGCCGCAGAGAAUAGGCCCAAGCGACUGUUUACCAAAAACAUAGGUUUCUGCUAAGUCGCAAGACGAUGUAUAGGAGCUGACGCCUGCCCGGUGCUGGAAGGUUAAGGGGAUCUGUUAGAGCAAUCGAAGCAGUGAACUUAAGCCCCAGUAAACGGCGGCCGUAACUAUAACGGUCCUAAGGUAGCGAAAUUCCUUGUCGGGUAAGUUCCGACCCGCACGAAAGGCGUAACGAUUUGGGCACUGUCUCAACAACAGACUCGGUGAAAUUGUAAUUCCGGUGAAGAUGCCGGAUACCUGCGACAGGACGGAAAGACCCCAUGGAGCUUUACUGUAGCUUGACAUUGGGUCUUGGUACUACAUGUACAGGAUAGGUGGGAGGCUUUGAAACCAGGACGCCAGUUUUGGCGGAGCCAUCCUUGGGAUACCACCCUUGUAGUACUGGGACUCUAACCAUAGGCCAUGAAUCUGGUCUUGGGACACUGUCAGGUGGGCAGUUUGACUGGGGCGGUCGCCUCCCAAAAGGUAACGGAGGCGCUCAAAGGUUCUCUCAGUACGGUCGGAAAUCGUACGUAGAGUGUAAAGGCAAAAGAGAGCUUGAUUGCAAGACAUACAGGUCGAGCAAGGAUGAAAAUCGGACUUAGUGAUCCGGUGGUUCUGCGUGGAAGGGCCAUCGCUCAACGGAUAAAAGCUACCCUGGGGAUAACAGGCUUAUCUCCCCCAAGAGUCCACAUCGACGGGGAGGUUUGGCACCUCGAUGUCGGCUCAUCACAUCCUGGGGCUGUAGU